Long non-coding RNA from Empidonax traillii (willow flycatcher), 315 nucleotides. RefSeq lists it as uncharacterized. The record is from RefSeq and is a predicted model, not a curated record. NCBI's taxonomy places the organism in Eukaryota, Metazoa, Chordata, Aves, Passeriformes, Tyrannidae. The transcript has 3 exons.
AAUAGGCUCUGGAAAACAUCAGUGCCACCAAUGAAUAGCUUGAUCUUCCCUCUCAGCUCCAAAUGAUUUGUACUGUUGUUCAUAAGGAUGUUGUCUGUUACUGAAAAUGGAGAUGUUACUGCUGGAAAACCAAAUGAAGAGAAAACAUAUAAAAAGACUGCAUCCUCAGCUAUUAAAGGUGCUAUCCAGCUGGGAAUAGGAUACACAGUAGGAAACCUUACAUCAAAACCAGACAGAGAUGUUCUUAUGCAAGACUUCUAUGUAGUGGAAAGUGUUUUCCUACCAAGGUAAGAACAAGCCUUUUCAAUUUGUCUU